CUUCCUUGCCGUUCGUUAACUGUACACGCCACCCCCAACUUGCCCGAGCUCGCCGCCGCUCACCCCGGGCAUAAAAACCGAAGACCGAAGACCAAAACCGAAAAGACCGAGACCGAACCCGAAAAGACCGAAUUAGAAAAGACCGAAUAAAAAACGGUCUGUGCAAAUAGAAGACCGAACUAGUUUCGGUCUGAUCGGUCAUGCUAUGUUUAGGACCGAAUAGCCCGUAUAGACUGAUUAAUAAAAGCCCAUCCUAAGGCUCGUCCGGCCAGCCCAAUGGUCACGCACUAGACCCAACUACAGAGUAGAGCCCCCUAAAAAAAAAACUACAGAGUAGAGUACACGACCUCGCAUCCUCACAUCCCGAUUCAUAGAAACCACCAGCAGCCAAUCUCUUGUUCUCCCACUGCUAACCCUAGCCGCCGCCUGCUGCUUGCCUCGAUGCGCGCCGCGCCCCCCUGAAUGAAGACCUGCGCCCGAGCGGCGGCCCUAGCCGGUGAAGACCGGCGCCCGAGCGGCAGGCCUGGCAGGUGAAGACGGGCACCGCGAGCGGCGGCCCUGAGCCCCUGACCGUGAAGACUGUCGCCCUGCGCCGCCGCCAACCCCAACCUCCCGUCGGUCGCUCCACCGCCUACGACGCGGCCGUCCGCCGCCGGUGCUCCACCUCCCGACGACCUGCCCACUUUUGGUUCUCGACAUCGCAGCUGAAGAUGUUUUCUGAACAUGAUGACAAACUGAAUGAGAAUCAAGAUGCAUUUAUGAGUGUAGAGGCAAAGGCAGAUGCAGAAGCAGCAGCUGCAGAAGCAGGAGACGAAUCUUCUUGCUUUCUUUCAAAUAGAAAUGAUUAUGCAUGCAUGAAUCUUGUUGCUGGACCAUGAAUCAUGAAUGUUCUUACUUUGUGUCAUAUGAAUCUUGUUACUUGCUCUCAAAUGUAAACAUGUACUGGUACUUUGCUACUUGCUGUUGCAUAUAAACAUGUAUUGGUACUUUCUGCUCUCAAAUAUAAACAUGUAUUGGUACUGGAA
Long non-coding RNA from Aegilops tauschii subsp. strangulata, 1025 nucleotides. RefSeq lists it as uncharacterized. The record is from RefSeq and is a predicted model, not a curated record. NCBI's taxonomy places the organism in Eukaryota, Viridiplantae, Streptophyta, Magnoliopsida, Poales, Poaceae.